RNAcentral lists this ribosomal RNA (497 nucleotides) under uncultured bacterium. RNAcentral describes it as "partial 16S ribosomal RNA". It matches the Rfam family "Bacterial small subunit ribosomal RNA", at positions 28 to 507 of the family's 1533-position model. The record is from RNAcentral.
GAUGAACGCUGGCGGCGUGCCUAAUACAUGCAAGUCGAGCGAACGGACGAGAAGCUUGCUUCUCUGAUGUUAGCGGCGGACGGGUGAGUAACACGUGGAUAACCUACCUAUAAGACUGGGAUAACUUCGGGAAACCGGAGCUAAUACCGGAUAAUAUUUUGAACCGCAUGGUUCAAAAGUGAAAGACGGUCUUUCUGUCACUUAUAGAUGGAUCCGCACUGCAUUAGCUAGUUGGUAAGGUAACGGCUUACCAAGGCAACUAUUCAUAGCCGACCUGAGAGGGUGAUCGGCCACACUAGAACUAUGACACGGUCCAGACUCCUACGGGAGGCAGCAGGAGGGAAUCUUCCGCAAUGGGCGAAAGCCUGACGGAGCAACGCCGCGUGAGUGAUGAAGGUCUUCGGAUCGUAAAACUCUGUUAUUAGGGAAGAACAUAUGUGUAAGUAACUGUGCACAUCUUGACGGUACCUAAUCAGAAAGCCACGGCUAACUACGUG